This is a small nuclear RNA of Loxodonta africana (African savanna elephant), 107 nucleotides long. The record is from Ensembl. Lineage: Eukaryota; Metazoa; Chordata; Mammalia; Proboscidea; Elephantidae.
GCGCUCACUUCACCACCAUAUAUACUAAAAUUGGAAUGACACAGAGGAGAUUGGCAUGGGCCCUGCACAAACAUGACAUGUAAAAAUAUCAUCAGAAACACUUGGAA